This 491-nucleotide ribosomal RNA is filed under the name uncultured bacterium. RNAcentral's name for it is "partial 16S ribosomal RNA". It matches the Rfam family "Bacterial small subunit ribosomal RNA", at positions 30 to 507 of the family's 1533-position model. The record is from RNAcentral.
GUGAACGCUGGCGGUAGGCCUAACACAUGCAAGUCGAACGGCAGCACAGUAAGCGCUUGCUCUUACGGGUGGCGAGUGGCGGACGGGUGAGGAAUACAUCGGAAUCUACUUUUUCGUGGGGGAUAACGUAGGGAAACUUACGCUAAUACCGCAUACGACCUACGGGUGAAAGCAGGGGAUCUUCGGACCUUGCGCGAUUGAAUGAGCCGAUGUCGGAUUAGCUAGUUGGCGGGGUAAAGGCCCACCAAGGCGACGAUCCGUAGCUGGUCUGAGAGGAUGAUGACAUACAGUGUAAGAGAGAACGAGCCGAGACUCCGGGGGGGGGAAGCGGUGGGGAAUAUUGAGGGAGGGGGGAGAGCGGAAUCCUGCAAUACGGGGGGAGGAAAGAGGGCGUGGGGGUUGGAAAGUCUUUUUGGGGGAAGAGAAGAAAAGCUGUUUAACCCCCGAUGGUUAUGACGGUACCGAAAGAAUAAGCUCCGGCUAACUCCGUG